GGCAGGGCUCAGGGGUAGCGCACUUGCCUGGCAUGCAUGAGGCACUGGGUUCGAGUCUCAGCACCA
Molecule: transfer RNA, 66 nt
Filed under: Marmota monax (woodchuck)
Lineage: Eukaryota; Metazoa; Chordata; Mammalia; Rodentia; Sciuridae
Description: tRNA.Ala
Source: RNAcentral